AUAAGACGCACAUCCCUACUUCAUGCUACAUCUAAUCGUAAUAGUGAUCAUUUGGAAGUCGAAGACGAAGGAACGGAAGAAAGCCGGGCAAAAUCGUCGCUUCUUACAGUUAUAGUGAUUGCACUGUUCAGUGAAAUAAACCGAAAAUGAUAUUUGAAAAGAAAAGAUUCGAUUAAUAAAGUACGCUGACACGCUCUUCCCCAUAUUAUUCCUGGCAUGACUGAAUCACUAGCAGCUGGUUCGCGACGGAGCCAAAAUAGUCAACUACCUCGGCCAGUUUCCUCCGAAAUUACUGUGCUGACGAAGCAUCAAGCGAAGGUGGCGAUUUGAAAUCAAAGAUAAAUAUAGACCACAGAAAAGAAUAUCUCCUUGAUGAAUCAGCGUGUCCAUUUGUUCUCUUGAAAAGUACUGUCAUUCCAUCUUCAAGGUCAUUUAAAAUUCAUCGAUAAUUAUAUAUAUACUUUUUUUAUUUAUAAUAUCUGUAUAAUAUGAACCGCAUUUAAAAUAUAAAAAUCAUAUAGUUUUUAAGAAUUUUCCUUUAUUAUUUCUAAAAUAGUUAGAAAUAAAAAAAUGCUAUUUUGAAAUAUUUGUUUGAUUGUAUAUUUGAAAUUCCUGUUGAAAAUUUAGCACUGGUCACAAAGAAUCAAUAUUGAAAUUAUUUACGUCAAAUUUAAAAAAUACACACACACACACACAUACAUACACGUAUGAUAUAAGUUUAUAACAAAUAUCUUAGUGAUACUGUAUAUUUUCGAAUAUUUUAAAAUGGGGUUUAAAGAUCCCAGAUAUAUAUCCAGAACAUAUAUCUGUGUGCACGUGAUACGUUUUGUGAGAUGUAUACAAACUGUAUAAUAAAUUAAGAAUUAUGUAAUUUUAUUAAGUAAUAAAAUUUAAAAAAUGUAUAAUAAUAAAAAAUAAAAGAGCGUUUAAAAUACCA
Molecule: long non-coding RNA, 937 nt
Organism: Solenopsis invicta (red fire ant)
Lineage: Eukaryota; Metazoa; Arthropoda; Insecta; Hymenoptera; Formicidae
Exons: 2
Source: RefSeq, a predicted model, not a curated record